This 433-nucleotide ribosomal RNA is filed under the name uncultured bacterium. RNAcentral describes it as "partial 16S ribosomal RNA". It matches the Rfam family "Bacterial small subunit ribosomal RNA", at positions 29 to 507 of the family's 1533-position model. The record is from RNAcentral.
AACGAACGCUGGCGGCAGGCCUAACACAUGCAAGUCGAGCGCGCCCUUCGGGGUGAGCGGCGGACGGGUGAGUAACGCGUGGGAACGUGCCCUUCUCUGCGGAAUAGCCUCGGGAAACUGAGAGUAAUACCGCAUACGCCCUUUGGGGGAAAGAUUUAUCGGAGAAGGAUCGGCCCGCGUUGGAUUAGGUAGUUGGUGGGGUAAUGGCCCACCAAGCCGACGAUCCAUAGCUGGUUUGAGAGGAUGAUCAGCCACACUGGGACUGAGACACGGCCCAGCCUCCUACGGGAGGCAGCAGUGGGGAAUCUUAGACAAUGGGGGCAAACCUGAUCUAGCCAUGCCGCGUGAGUGAUGAAGGCCUUAGGGUUGUAAAGCUCUUUCAGCUGGGAAGAUAAUGACGGUACCAGCAGAAGAAGCCCCGGCUAACUCCGUG